Molecule: ribosomal RNA, 429 nt
Filed under: Chloroflexota bacterium
Lineage: Bacteria; Bacillati; Chloroflexota
Description: Chloroflexi bacterium partial 16S ribosomal RNA
Rfam family: Bacterial small subunit ribosomal RNA
Source: RNAcentral
UGGGGAAUAUUGCACAAUGGGCGCAAGCCUGAUGCAGCCAUGCCGCGUGUGUGAAGAAGGCCUUCGGGUUGUAAAGCACUUUCAGCGGGGAGGAAGGCGUUAAGGUUAAUAACCUUGGCGAUUGACGUUACCCGCAGAAGAAGCACCGGCUAACUCCGUGCCAGCAGCCGCGGUAAUACGGAGGGUGCAAGCGUUAAUCGGAAUUACUGGGCGUAAAGCGCACGCAGGCGGUCUGUCAAGUCGGAUGUGAAAUCCCCGGGCUCAACCUGGGAACUGCAUUCGAAACUGGCAGGCUAGAGUCUUGUAGAGGGGGGGAGAAUUCCAGGUGUAGCGGUGAAAUGCGUAGAAAUCUGGAGGAAUACCGGUGGCGAAGGCGGCCCCCUGGACAAAGACUGACGCUCAGGUGCGAAAGCGUGGGGAGCAAACAGG